GACGAACGCUGGCGGCGUGCUUAACACAUGCAAGUCGAACGGUGAAGCUCCAGCUUGCUGGAGUGGAUCAGUGGCGAACGGGUGAGUAACACGUGAGCAACCUGCCCCUGACUCUGGAAUAAGCGCUGGAAACGGCGUCUAAUACUGGAUACGAGAAGGGUCCGCAUGGGCACUUUCUGGAAAGUUUUUCGGUUGGGGAUGGGCUCGCGGCCUAUCAGCUUGUUGGUGAGGUAAUGGCUCACCAAGGCGACGACGGGUAGCCGGCCUGAGAGGGCGACCGGCCACACUGGGACUGAGACACGGCCCAGACUCCUACGGGAGGCAGCAGUGGGGAAUAUUGCACAAUGGGCGAAAGCCUGAUGCAGCGACGCCGCGUGAGGGAUGACGGCCUUCGGGUUGUAAACCUCUUUCAGCAGGGAAGAAACGAAAGUGACGGUACCUGCAGAAGAAGCACCGGCUAACUACGUG
RNAcentral lists this ribosomal RNA (468 nucleotides) under uncultured bacterium. RNAcentral's name for it is "partial 16S ribosomal RNA". It matches the Rfam family "Bacterial small subunit ribosomal RNA", at positions 28 to 507 of the family's 1533-position model. The record is from RNAcentral.